This 253-nucleotide ribosomal RNA is filed under the name uncultured bacterium. RNAcentral's name for it is "partial 16S ribosomal RNA". It matches the Rfam family "Bacterial small subunit ribosomal RNA", at positions 524 to 776 of the family's 1533-position model. The record is from RNAcentral.
UACGUAGGGGGCAAGCGUUGUCCGGAAUUACUGGGCGUAAAGGGCGCGUAGGCGGCCUGUUAAGUCGAACGUGAAAUCCCUGGGCUCAACCCAGGAACUGCGUCCGAUACUGGCAGGCUUGAGUUCGGGAGAGGGAUGCGGAAUUCCAGGUGUAGCGGUGAAAUGCGUAGAUAUCUGGAGGAACACCUGUGGCGAAGGCGGCGGACUGGGCCGACCCUGACGCUGAGGCGCGAAGGCGUGGGGAGCGAACGGG